This 504-nucleotide ribosomal RNA is filed under the name uncultured bacterium. RNAcentral describes it as "bacterial SSU rRNA". It matches the Rfam family "Bacterial small subunit ribosomal RNA", at positions 24 to 518 of the family's 1533-position model. The record is from RNAcentral.
UCAGGAUGAACGCUAGCUACAGGCUUAACACAUGCAAGUCGAGGGGCAGCAUAUCGAAAGCUUGCUUUGAUGAUGGCGACCGGCGCACGGGUGAGUAACGCGUAUCCAACCUUCCCUAUACUAGAGGAUAGCCCGGCGAAAGUCGGAUUAAUACUCUAUGUUGUAUUUCGAGGACAUCUGAAUAAUACCAAAGGUUUACCGGUAUAGGAUGGGGAUGCGUCUGAUUAGGUUGUUGGCGGGUAACGGCCCACCAAGCCUACGAUCAGUAGGGGUUCUGAGAGGAAGGUCCCCCACAUUGGAACUGAGACACGGUCCAAACUCCUACGGGAGGCAGCAGUGAGGAAUAUUGGUCAAUGGACGAGAGUCUGAACCAGCCAAGUAGCGUGCCAGGAUGACGGCCCUAUGGGUUGUAAACUGCUUUUAUACAGGGAUAAAGUGCACUACGUGUAGUGUUUUGUAGGUACUGUAUGAAUAAGGACCGGCUAAUUCCGUGCCAGCCGCAGC